Molecule: non-coding RNA, 140 nt
Filed under: Psychrobacillus sp. FJAT-21963
Lineage: Bacteria; Bacillati; Bacillota; Bacilli; Caryophanales; Bacillaceae
Also listed under: 1 other name
Source: RNAcentral
GAAUAUUUUGAACAUAAAGGUGCUUGCUAGUUUACUAGUAAGUUAAAAGGGAAGCUGGUGCAAGUCCAGCGCGGUCCCGCCACUGUAAGUGAUUGUACAUGAUCACAAGUCAGAAAACCUGCCUUUAUGCGUUUACACUU